GGGUUGUGAGGUUAAGCGACUAAGCGUACACGGUGGAUGCCCUGGCAGUCAGAGGCGAUGAAGGACGUGCUAAUCUGCGAAAAGCGACGGCGAGGUGAUAUGAACCUUUGACCCGUCGAUGUCCGAAUGGGGAAACCCAGUGCAAUUCGUUGCACUAUCGUUA
This 163-nucleotide ribosomal RNA is filed under the name Enterobacter sp. 50588862. RNAcentral describes it as "partial 23S ribosomal RNA". It matches the Rfam family "Bacterial large subunit ribosomal RNA", at positions 1 to 156 of the family's 2925-position model. The record is from RNAcentral. Lineage: Bacteria; Pseudomonadati; Pseudomonadota; Gammaproteobacteria; Enterobacterales; Enterobacteriaceae.